RNAcentral lists this ribosomal RNA (250 nucleotides) under uncultured bacterium. RNAcentral describes it as "partial 16S ribosomal RNA". It matches the Rfam family "Bacterial small subunit ribosomal RNA", at positions 524 to 773 of the family's 1533-position model. The record is from RNAcentral.
UACGGAGGAUGCGAGCGUUAUCCGGAUUUAUUGGGUUUAAAGGGUGCGUAGGUGGCCUCUUAAGUCAGUGGUGAAAGUUUGUCGCUCAACGAUAAAAUUGCCAUUGAAACUGGGGGGCUUGAGUAUGUUUGAGGUAGGCGGAAUGCGUGGUGUAGCGGUGAAAUGCAUAGAUAUCACGCAGAACUCCGAUUGCGAAGGCAGCUUACUAAACCAUAACUGACACUGAUGCACGAAAGCGUGGGGAGCAAAC